This 111-nucleotide non-coding RNA is filed under the name Vombatus ursinus (common wombat). The record is from RNAcentral. Lineage: Eukaryota; Metazoa; Chordata; Mammalia; Diprotodontia; Vombatidae.
GUGUUGUAUAAAAAAAGAGAAUAUUAGUAUUCCUUUUGAUGAGAAAGGGAUGAAGUCCUAGUGGCUUCUAUAACAUAUCUAUCCCCUAUGCCAAAAUGAGAACAGUUGUUG